RNAcentral lists this ribosomal RNA (481 nucleotides) under uncultured bacterium. RNAcentral's name for it is "bacterial SSU rRNA". It matches the Rfam family "Bacterial small subunit ribosomal RNA", at positions 329 to 803 of the family's 1533-position model. The record is from RNAcentral.
GAGAUAACUCCUACGGGAGGCAGCAGUGGGGAAUUUUGGACAAUGGGGGCAACCCUGAUCCAGCAAUGCCGCGUGAGUGAAGAAGGCCUUCGGGUUGUAAAGCUCUUUUGUCAGGGAAGAAACGGUAGUAGCUAAUAUCUAUUACUAAUGACGGUACCUGAAGAAUAAGCACCGGCUAACUACGUGCCAGCAGCCGCGGUAAUACGUAGGGUGCAAACGUUAAUCGGAAUUACUGGGCGUAAAGCGUGCGCAGGCGGUUGUGUAAGUCAGAUGUGAAAUCCCCGGGCUCAACCUGGGAAUUGCAUUUGAGACUGAACGGCUAGAGUGUGUCAGAGUGGGGUAGAAUGCCACGUGUAGCAGUGAAAUGCGUAGAUAUGUGGAGGAAUACCGAUGGCGAAGGCAGCCCCCUGUUAUAACACUGACGCUCAUGCACGAAAGCGUGGGGAGCAAACGGGAUUAGAUACCCCAGUAGUCCUCCACU